AUUGAACGCUGGCGGCAGGCUUAACACAUGCAAGUCGAGCGGGGAAGGGUAGCUUGCUACCUAACCUAGCGGCGGACGGGUGAGUAAUGCUUAGGAAUCUGCCAUUUAGUGGGGGACAACAUUCCGAAAGGAAUGCUAAUACCGCAUACGUCCUACGGGAGAAAGCAGGGGAUCUUCGGACCUUGCGCUAAAUGAUGAGCCUAAGUCGGAUUAGCUAGUUGGUGGGGUAAAGGCCUACCAAGGCGACGAUCUGUAGCGGGUCUGAGAGGAUGACGCGCCACACUGGGACUGAGAAACGGCCCAGACUCCUACGGGGGGCAGCAGUGGGGAAUAUUGGACAAUGGGCGGAAGCCUGAUCCAGCCAUGCCGCGUGUGUGAAGAAGGCCUUAUGGUUGCAAAGCACUUUAAGCGAGGAGGAGGCUACUUAGAUUAAUACUCUAGGAUAGUGGACGUUACUCGCAGAAUAAGCACCGGCUAACUCUGUGCCAGCCGCCGCUGUAA
RNAcentral lists this ribosomal RNA (501 nucleotides) under uncultured bacterium. RNAcentral describes it as "partial 16S ribosomal RNA". It matches the Rfam family "Bacterial small subunit ribosomal RNA", at positions 30 to 523 of the family's 1533-position model. The record is from RNAcentral.